Molecule: RNA transcript, 3555 nt
Organism: Hevea brasiliensis (rubber tree)
Lineage: Eukaryota; Viridiplantae; Streptophyta; Magnoliopsida; Malpighiales; Euphorbiaceae
Gene name: probable serine/threonine-protein kinase At1g54610
Exons: 9
Source: RefSeq, a predicted model, not a curated record
GUGAGACCUCUGCUCUUCUCACCGAGAGAGUCAAAGAAAGACAAAGACCAGAGAGAGAGAGAGAGAGACCCACUAGAAAGUGGAAAACAGAUCCACACUUUCUUUCUCUAAACAUUCUUUUCUUUUACCUUUUCAAGCUUUUUUUUUUUUUUCGUUUCUUUUUUCUUUGGGUGAAAAAUCUCACAAGAAGAAAAAUGCACAAAAGAUAGGGUCUGUGUUUUUUAGUUUCUUUUUUUUUUUUUUUUUUUUUUGCUUUUUAAUUAAGAUUUUUUUUUUUUUGAGUUUGUGUAUAGUGAUUUCUAGCUGAUAUUUCUUGACUGUGGGCAGCUCUAAAUCAUUACUUAGUUUUCCUUUUGUCUUCAAAAAGCUUUCUCUCUUCGAUUAGCGUAUGCACGUCCCUCCUUCGCUCUAAUUACUCCAUUUCUCCUUUUAGGGUUUUUCUUUAUCUGAAUAACGAGGAAAAAAAAUGUGGGUUGGUGUGGGAAUGUGAUGAGGAAUGAGAAAUGGGGUGCGUCUUUGGGAGAGAGGUGACUCCGAGGAAGGCGGCGGCGGCGGCGGAGAGGGAAGGGAGAAGAGAGAGGCAGGAAGUUAGGGUAGUGCAGGAGGAAAGUAGUAGCCAGGUUAGAAAUGGAGGAGAGAAUCGGAAGGAGAAAAAUGAGGUGGAGGUGGAAGAGGAGGAGGGGGAGGGGAGGGUGCGGCAUAGGGGUGAGAGGAGGAGAUCCUCUAGGCCAAAUCCGAGGUUGAGUAAUCCUCCCAAGCACGUGCAAGGUGAACAGGUGGCUGCCGGAUGGCCCUCUUGGCUCUCUGCCGUCGCCGGUGAAGCUAUCAAUGGAUGGACCCCACGACGUGCUGAUACUUUUGAGAAGCUUGACAAGAUUGGGCAGGGUACAUAUAGUAAUGUGUACAAAGCUAAGGAUAACAUGACAGGGAAAAUUGUUGCAUUGAAGAAGGUUCGGUUUGACAAUUUGGAACCCGAAAGUGUAAAAUUUAUGGCUAGGGAAAUUUUGAUUUUGCGUCGUUUGGAUCAUCCCAAUGUUGUAAAAUUGGAAGGUUUGGUGACCUCAAGGAUGUCUUGUAGUUUGUACCUUGUUUUUGAAUACAUGGAGCAUGAUUUAGCUGGACUUGCAGCAAGCCCAAACAUCAAGUUCACCGAGCCUCAGGUCAAAUGUUAUAUGCAUCAGUUGUUAUCUGGUCUUGAACACUGUCACAACCUCCAUGUGCUGCAUCGUGAUAUUAAGGGAUCAAAUCUUCUUAUUGGCAAUGAUGGAAUCCUUAGAAUUGCUGAUUUUGGGUUGGCUUCUUUUUUUGAUCCUAAUCACAAGCAGCCCAUGACUAGCAGGGUAGUUACCUUAUGGUAUCGACCCCCAGAGCUGCUCCUUGGGGCUACUGACUAUGGUGUGGGUGUUGACCUCUGGAGUGCUGGUUGCAUUCUUGCUGAGCUAUUGGCCGGGAAGCCAAUCAUGCCUGGUCGCACUGAGGUGGAGCAAUUGCACAAGAUAUUUAAACUAUGUGGCUCUCCUUCUGAAGAGUAUUGGAAAAAGUCAAAGUUGCCACAUGCAACCAUAUUUAAGCCCCAGCAAUCAUACAAGAGAUGUAUAGCAGAGACUUUUAAAGACUUCCCACCAUCGUCACUGCCCCUAAUUGAGACCCUUCUUGCCAUUGACCCAGCUGAACGUCAAACUGCUACUGCUGCAUUGAAGAGUGAAUUCUUUUCCACCAAGCCUUAUGCUUGUGAGCCUUCUAGUCUUCCAAAAUAUCCUCCAAGCAAGGAGAUGGAUGCUAAACUACGAGAUGAAGAAGCUAGAAGAUUGAGAGCAGCUGGAAGGUCUAAUGCUGAUGGUGUGAAGAAGUUGCGUCCACGUGAUCGAACUGUAAAGGCAUUUCCUGCUCCAGAAGCCAAUGCCGAGCUUCAAGCCAAUCUUGAUAGACGGCGUUUAAUAACACAUGCAAAUGCUAAGAGCAAGAGUGAGAAAUUUCCUCCACCUCACCAAGAUGGAACACUUGGUUAUCCUUUGGGCUCUUCACAUCAGAUUGAUCCUGUUUUUGAUCCCCCUGAUGUCCCAUUCAGUUCCACGAAUUUCUCAUAUUCAAAAGCACCUAUCCAGACAUGGUCUGGCCCAUUGGUGGACCCAGCUUCAGUUGGUGCUCCAAAGAGAAAGAAACAGAAAGAUAAAAUUUCUGCUCGGGUAAAAGAGAAGGAAGGCAUGUAAUAUAUUUUCAGCUUAUUUGUGAGACUAUUCAUAAGGCUGCAAAGUUGCAAAUCCAGCCUUUGAUAUCUGUUCCGGGAAAGCCAAUUAAAUUGCAAGGAGAGGCAUAAAAGGAUGAUCAAGAUUCGAGGACAUUCUGAAUAUGAAUCCAAUUAAUGUGUUACCGUUUUAUAUCAAAAUAUUUCUCUGAGAUUCUUACUCGAAAGGAAAGAUGAGUAUUAAAAAUUUAUUGAGCAAGGUUGAACUAUACUUUUUUUUCCUCGUUGCUGAGGAAAUGGAAUAUGAAGCCAUUAUUUUAUGGCAGCUACCAUUUUAGCUCUAGCACAUGCUCUGCAACGUGAGAAGAUUAAAUACCAAACCAGUACCAGUAGAUACUUUCCUAAAGGCUUACUGCUUUUCACCUUCUAGUUUGAACAAAAAAAUUUUCAAAUAUGUCAAGCUUACAAUCUUUCAUCAGAGUCCUCUUGCGUAAUCAAACAAGCAUCCAACGAGUGUAUCUUUUUUCUUUUACUUUUGCCUUGUAAGAGGGUAGGUUGAAAAAAGAGUAGUAGGAGUGGGUGGGUUUGACUGGCAGGUUUGGCAGUUGCCACUUGAAAGAAUUUGUUCACAUAUAUUGUUAACUGUCAAACUUUUACUUUAGGAAGUUGUUGGCAUAUGUCCUUGAAUAUAUGCUCCCUAUAAAUUUUCAAGUGACUUGAACCCCAAUUCUCAGAACUCGGAACCAUAUAAUCUAUAGACUCCCUUGGCGUCGUCUCCUGCCAAAAUCUGGAACUUGGGUUAUUUUCAGUGGCACCACAGUGGUAGUGUAGACUGCUGAAUGAGGCCACCUGGCCCUGGAGGACCCGGACCCGGACCGGGACCAGGACCUGGACCUGGCUGGGUUCCUCCAGGACCUGGUCUCCCUGGAGGUUUCUUCAAUGGCUUGUUCAGUGCGGUAUCAUCUUGCUUCUACAUCUUAUGCUGUUGCUGGCUGUUUCAAGACUGCUUUGGUGCCCCACCAGCACCUCCAGCUCCAGGUCCGCCUCUGGCUCCGGCUCCACCUCCUCCUCCUGUGCCUCUUGGACCACCUCCACCUCCACCUGGACCUCCUGGACCCCCGGGUGGCCCACCUGGUCCUCCAGGACCACCUCCUCCAUAAUCCCAUGGCUCGAUCUAAUAUCUAACCACAUAAGAGGAGUCUGAAAUGAUUGCUAUCUUGGCUUAAAAGAUUGUUACUAGUUAUUGUUAAAGCCAUUAGAAAAGCUUGUUUGAUGUUUAUGCAAUAAUAUUACAUUGUGGAACAACCAACCAUAUAUAAUUACAAUCUACAAGGUGUUAUUAAGAAUAGUUAAUCAUUUGUUUUCACUAA